Molecule: transfer RNA, 80 nt
Filed under: Salipiger marinus
Lineage: Bacteria; Pseudomonadati; Pseudomonadota; Alphaproteobacteria; Rhodobacterales; Roseobacteraceae
Also listed under: 1 other name
Description: tRNA_Val_TAC
Rfam family: tRNA
About the family: Transfer RNA (tRNA) molecules are approximately 80 nucleotides in length. Their secondary structure includes four short double-helical elements and three loops (D, anti-codon, and T loops). Further hydrogen bonds mediate the characteristic L-shaped molecular structure. tRNAs have two regions of fundamental functional importance: the anti-codon, which is responsible for specific mRNA codon recognition, and the 3' end, to which the tRNAs corresponding amino acid is attached (by aminoacyl-tRNA synthetases). tRNAs cope with the degeneracy of the genetic code in two manners: having more than one tRNA (with a specific anti-codon) for a particular amino acid; and 'wobble' base-pairing, i.e. permitting non-standard base-pairing at the 3rd anti-codon position.
Source: RNAcentral
GCGUGAUGUGAGUAGCUUGGCGAAGGGGCGCUUCGUUUACACCGAAGAUGUCGGGAGUUCGAGUCUCUCAUCACCCACCA